GACGAACGCUGGCGGCGUGCCUAAUACAUGCAAGUAGAACGCUGAAGAGAGGAGCUUGCUCUUCUUGGAUGAGUUGCGAACGGGUGAGUAACGCGUAGGUAACCUGCCUUGUAGCGGGGGAUAACUAUUGGAAACGAUAGCUAAUACCGCAUAACAAUGGAUGACACAUGUCAUUUAUUUGAAAGGGGCAAUUGCUCCACUACAAGAUGGACCUGCGUUGUAUUAGCUAGUAGGUGAGGUAACGGCUCACCUAGGCGACGAUACAUAGCCGACCUGAGAGGGUGAUCGGCCACACUGGGACUGAGACACGGCCCAGACUCCUACGGGAGGCAGCAGUAGGGAAUCUUCGGCAAUGGGGGCAACCCUGACCGAGCAACGCCGCGUGAGUGAAGAAGGUUUUCGGAUCGUAAAGCUCUGUUGUAAGUCAAGAACGAGUGUGAGAGUGGAAAGUUCACACUGUGACGGUAGCUUACCAGAAAGGGACGGCUAACUACGUGCCAGCAGCCGCGGUAAUACGUAGGUCCCGAGCGUUGUCCGGAUUUAUUGGGCGUAAAGCGGGCGCAGGCGGUUUGAUAAGUCUGAAGUUAAGGCUGUGGCUCAACCAUAGUUCGCUUUGGAAACUGUCAAACUUGAGUGCAGAAGGGGAGAGUGGAAUUCCAUGUGUAGCGGUGAAAUGCGUAGAUAUAUGGAGGAACACCGGUGGCGAAAGCGGCUCUCUGGUCUGUAACUGACGCUGAGGCUCGAAAGCGUGGGGAGCGAACAGGAUUAGAUACCCUGGUAGUCCACGCCGUAAACGAUGAGUGCUAGGUGUUGGAUCCUUUCCGGGAUUCAGUGCCGCAGCUAACGCAUUAAGCACUCCGCCUGGGGAGUACGACCGCAAGGUUGAAACUCAAAGGAAUUGACGGGGGCCCGCACAAGCGGUGGAGCAUGUGGUUUAAUUCGAAGCAACGCGAAGAACCUUACCAGGUCUUGACAUCCCGAUGCUAUUUCUAGAGAUAGAAAGUUACUUCGGUACAUCGGUGACAGGUGGUGCAUGGUUGUCGUCAGCUCGUGUCGUGAGAUGUUGGGUUAAGUCCCGCAACGAGCGCAACCCCUAUUGUUAGUUGCCAUCAUUCAGUUGGGCACUCUAGCGAGACUGCCGGUAAUAAACCGGAGGAAGGUGGGGAUGACGUCAAAUCAUCAUGCCCCUUAUGACCUGGGCUACACACGUGCUACAAUGGUUGGUACAACGAGUUGCGAGUCGGUGACGGCAAGCUAAUCUCUUAAAGCCAAUCUCAGUUCGGAUUGUAGGCUGCAACUCGCCUACAUGAAGUCGGAAUCGCUAGUAAUCGCGGAUCAGCACGCCGCGGUGAAUACGUUCCCGGGCCU
This 1368-nucleotide ribosomal RNA is filed under the name uncultured bacterium. Its description in RNAcentral is "bacterial SSU rRNA". It matches the Rfam family "Bacterial small subunit ribosomal RNA", at positions 28 to 1381 of the family's 1533-position model. The record is from RNAcentral.